AUUGAACGCUGGCGGCAUGCUUUACACAUGCAAGUCGAACGGUAACAGGCCUUCGGGUGCUGACGAGUGGCGAACGGGUGAGUAAUGCAUCGGAACGUGCCCAGAGGUGGGGGAUAACGCAGCGAAAGCUGUGCUAAUACCGCAUGUGAUCUGAGGAUGAAAGCGGGGGACCAGGCAGCAAUGUUUGGCCUCGCGCCUUUGGAGCGGCCGAUGUCAGAUUAGGUAGUUGGUGGGGUAAAGGCCUACCAAGCCGACGAUCUGUAGCUGGUCUGAAAGGACGAACAGCCACACUGGGACUGAGACACGGCCCAGACUCCUACGGGAGGCAGCAGUGGGGAAUUUUGGACAAUGGGCGCAAGCCUGAUCCAGCAAUGCCGCGUGCGGGAAGAAGGCCUUCGGGUUGUAAACCGCUUUUGUACGGAACGAAAAGGCUCUGGCUAAUACCUGGGGCUGAUGACGGUACCGUAAGAAUAAGCACCGGCUAACUACGUG
RNAcentral lists this ribosomal RNA (492 nucleotides) under uncultured bacterium. Its description in RNAcentral is "partial 16S ribosomal RNA". It matches the Rfam family "Bacterial small subunit ribosomal RNA", at positions 30 to 507 of the family's 1533-position model. The record is from RNAcentral.